This 528-nucleotide ribosomal RNA is filed under the name uncultured bacterium. RNAcentral's name for it is "bacterial SSU rRNA". It matches the Rfam family "Bacterial small subunit ribosomal RNA", at positions 777 to 1320 of the family's 1533-position model. The record is from RNAcentral.
AAUAGAUACCCAGGUAGUCCACGCCGUAAACGAUGGAUGCUAGCUGUUAGAAGUAUCGACCCUUCUAGUAGCGUAGCUAACGCGUUAAGCAUCCCGCCUGUGGAGUACGGUCGCAAGACUAAAACAUAAAGGAAUUGACGGGGACCCGCACAAGCGGUGGAGCGUGUUGUUUAAUUCGAUGGUAAGCGAAGAACCUUACCCAGGCUUGACAUCCUGCCAAAGACUCUGAAAGGAGACUGUGCCUUCGGGCCGCAGUGACAGGUGAUGCAUGGCCGUCGUCAGCUCGUGUCGUGAGAUGUUUGGUUAAGUCCAUCAACGAGCGCAACCCUUGUAGUUAGUUGUAUUUUCUAGCUAGACUGCCCUGGUAACAGGGAGGAAGGAGGGGAUGAUGUCAGGUCAGUAUCUCCCCUACGCCUGGGGCUACAAACACGCUACAAUGGCCGGUACAAAGGGCAGCCAACCCGCGAGGGGGAGCAAAUCCCAUCAAAGCCGGUCUCAGUUCGGAUUGCAGGCUGAAACUCGCCUGCA